GCCUUCGUGGUGUAGUGGUUAGCACGCUCGACGCGUAUUCGAGAAGUCCGUGGUUCGAGUCCCGGCGAGGGCA
Molecule: transfer RNA, 73 nt
Filed under: Stegodyphus dumicola
Lineage: Eukaryota; Metazoa; Arthropoda; Arachnida; Araneae; Eresidae
Description: tRNA-Thr
Rfam family: tRNA
About the family: Transfer RNA (tRNA) molecules are approximately 80 nucleotides in length.
Source: RNAcentral